CUUCGAACGCACAUUGCGGUCUUCGGAUACUGUUCCUGGACCACUCCUGGCUGAGGGUCGUUUCAAUUUCCACGACUGCCGGGCGUUGUAUGCACCGCCAAGUACGGUGCUCGCCGAGGCAAAUAUAUGGCCGUUCGCGAUAAGCCGUAACGUCGUUCGUCUCGUAUAGCCCCGCUCUAGUACGGAGGCGGCGGAACGAGUCUGACGUAAGCUAUAUCGCGUCGGUUUAAAUUACCGCCACUAAAAUAAGGUUCGCGGCGAACAGCGUGUAUUAUGUUGUGUUAUAUAAUACGCCCGUCGGAACUCGAUUGUGGUCGACGUGUCAGAGACAAGACCGAGGAUGAAAUGCUUGCAUAUUCGUUAUCCCGAGUUUUGCGUUGCGGGGAACGGGUGUCGUCGUAUUAGUCAGGUGUAAACGGGUUCAGCGAUAACUGUGUGAUGUACGACGACCACGAAGUCCGUCGUCUUCUCAUUAUUAUGUCGCGAUAACUUUACAUAGACGGACGACAGAUAGCCACGUUUAACCAACCGUCGUCAGACCUAUCGGUUCGAAAUUUGCCGCGGGUUUAACUUUUUUAGCUCGUCGCCCAUCGAAGCGACGGCGGAGAACACCCGCGUGCGAAUAACGGGCGUGCCGUUUGUGUGACCAUAGGCGUGUUUGUAAAUUUUAUGAACGA
RNAcentral lists this unclassified non-coding RNA (677 nucleotides) under Onthophagus medius. Its description in RNAcentral is "sequence contains 5.8S rRNA gene and ITS2". Lineage: Eukaryota; Metazoa; Arthropoda; Insecta; Coleoptera; Scarabaeidae. The record is from RNAcentral.